UAGGGAAUCUUCCGCAAUGGGCGAAAGCUUGACGGAGCAACGCCGCGUGAGUGAUGAAGGUCUUCGGAUCGUAAAACUCUGUUAUUAGGGAAGAACAAAUGUGUAAGUAACUAUGCACGUCUUGACGGUACCUAAUCAGAAAGCCACGGCUAACUACGUGCCAGCAGCCGCGGUAAUACGUAGGUGGCAAGCGUUAUCCGGAAUUAUUGGGCGUAAAGCGCGCGUAGGCGGUUUUUUAAGUCUGAUGUGAAAGCCCACGGCUCAACCGUGGAGGGUCAUUGGAAACUGGAAAACUUUAGUGCAGAAGAGGAAAGUGAAAUUCCAUGUGUAGCGGUGAAAUGCGCAGGGAUAUGGAGGUACACCAGUGGCGAAGGCGACUUUCUGGUCUGUAACUGACGCUGAUGUGCGAAAGCGUGGGGAUCAAACAGG
This 429-nucleotide ribosomal RNA is filed under the name Actinomycetes bacterium. RNAcentral describes it as "Actinobacteria bacterium partial 16S ribosomal RNA". It matches the Rfam family "Bacterial small subunit ribosomal RNA", at positions 355 to 776 of the family's 1533-position model. The record is from RNAcentral. Lineage: Bacteria; Bacillati; Actinomycetota; Actinomycetes.